This 253-nucleotide ribosomal RNA is filed under the name uncultured bacterium. RNAcentral describes it as "partial 16S ribosomal RNA". It matches the Rfam family "Bacterial small subunit ribosomal RNA", at positions 524 to 776 of the family's 1533-position model. The record is from RNAcentral.
UACGAAGGGGGCUAGCGUUGCUCGGAAUCACUGGGCGUAAAGGGUGCGUAGGCGGGUCUUUAAGUCAGGGGUGAAAUCCUGGAGCUCAACUCCAGAACUGCCUUUGAUACUGAGGAUCUUGAGUUCGGGAGAGGUGAGUGGAACUGCGAGUGUAGAGGUGAAAUGCGUAGAGAUCCGGAGGAACACCAGUGGCGAAGGCGACACGCUGGGCCGUACCUGACACUGAUGCGCGACAGCAUGGGGAGCAAACAGG